UACAGAGGGUGCAAGCGUUAUUCGGAUUUACUGGGCGUAAAGGGCGCGUAGGUUGUUAAGCAAGUCUGGUGUGAAAGCCCUCGUUUUAAGCGAGGAAGUGCACUAGAUACUACUUGACUAGAGUACAGGAGGGGGAAGCGGAAUUCCAGGUGUAGAGGUGAAAUUCGUAGAUAUCUGGAGGAACAACGGCGGCGAAGGCGGCUUCCUGGACUGUAACUGACACUGAGGCGCGAAAGCGUGGGGAGCAAACAGG
RNAcentral lists this ribosomal RNA (253 nucleotides) under uncultured bacterium. RNAcentral's name for it is "partial 16S ribosomal RNA". It matches the Rfam family "Bacterial small subunit ribosomal RNA", at positions 524 to 776 of the family's 1533-position model. The record is from RNAcentral.